ACCAAAUCAGGCACAGACUCUUUCUGCCAUUGGUGAGGAUCUAUUUGCUAUAGCACAAGAUCAGCCAUUUCGUUUUCCAUCUACCUUCACCUUUGUUAUCAGGGCCUUUUCAACACUUGAAGGAAUAGGGUACACAUUGAAUCCAGAUUUCUCGCUUGCAAAGAUUGCUGCACCCUAUGCACAGGAACUUCUAGAUUUAAGGCAGAGGCGGCAAACCGGGCCGUAAAUCGUGGAGCAGAUAAGGAAGCAAGCAGAUGAUGUAUCACAUCUUACUUGCAAAAACUCUCAUAUGAUGUGAAGCAUUUUAAUUUAGAAUGCCAUUGUUCAUCCGCUUUAAAUUGACAAUGAUGAG
Arachis ipaensis is the source of this 352-nucleotide non-coding RNA. Lineage: Eukaryota; Viridiplantae; Streptophyta; Magnoliopsida; Fabales; Fabaceae. The record is from RefSeq and is a predicted model, not a curated record.